RNAcentral lists this long non-coding RNA (210 nucleotides) under Brassica napus (rape). Its description in RNAcentral is "long non-coding RNA (BNAP_LNC008297)". Lineage: Eukaryota; Viridiplantae; Streptophyta; Magnoliopsida; Brassicales; Brassicaceae. The record is from RNAcentral.
AUUGUUGGUUGAUACGAGAAGAACAUUACAGGAAUGUGGGGUUUAUGGUUUAUGGCUUAUGUUGAUGUCAGUAGUUCCAGAGGUGGAAUUUGAGUUAAGUUGUUGGAACAGAGUCUCUAGGAGAAAAUGCUUAAGCUAAUAAGUGGGCUAAUUCAGACUUUUGGUUGUGUUUUUGGACAAAAGAUCAAACAAAUACUCGUGUUCUAAAGU